This 269-nucleotide unclassified non-coding RNA is filed under the name fungal sp. RNAcentral describes it as "partial internal transcribed spacer region". The stretch from base 1 to 46 matches the Rfam family "Eukaryotic small subunit ribosomal RNA", at positions 1786 to 1831 of the family's 1831-position model. Lineage: Eukaryota; Fungi. The record is from RNAcentral.
AAGUCGUAACAAGGUCUCCGUAGGGGAACCUGCGGAGGGAUCAUUUCUAUGAGAAAUGGUGUGGGGUGGGUAUGCGUAAAAGUGUGCUCAUUUCAUAUCAAAAACAAAGUGGGUUGUGCUCUAAUAAAUAAAGUGAGGGUGGUUCUUAUCACUAAGAAUCAUCUCUUGUUUUAUUCUUAUCAACUGUGAUCAAAGGUAUUCUUAACUGAAUUUUAAAAUAACCAAAAAAAAUAGAGAUACAACUAUCAACGGCGGAUCUCUUGGUUCGU